GAAGGUUUGAGUUCAUUGUUCUAAAAUCAAAAUAAGAUGAAGACUAUCAUUUCAGUUUUGAUCGUUUUGCUUGUUCUUUCUAUUGGGAUUGAAAAUGAAGGGCCAGUGAAAGUCAUAGAGGCAAGAAGUUGUGAAGAAAAAUUAUACGAGAAUGAUUGUCAAGAAAACAAGUGUAAUGCAGAUUGUCAUAGGAAACAUGGAAACUUAGCAAGUGGUAUGUGCAAUGCUAUAGAAGAUUGCAUAUGUAAUUUUCCAUGUUAAAUGUUUGAACUUCUUCUCCGGUGUCGUUCCUAUGAAUGUUAGUUUAUGUAAUAGGCGAUGCUGAAUUGAAAUAAAAUAAAUUUACUAUUUGGGAUUAUAUAUUUA
Cajanus cajan (pigeon pea) is the source of this 366-nucleotide long non-coding RNA. RefSeq lists it as uncharacterized. Lineage: Eukaryota; Viridiplantae; Streptophyta; Magnoliopsida; Fabales; Fabaceae. The record is from RefSeq and is a predicted model, not a curated record.